Molecule: small nuclear RNA, 114 nt
Filed under: Zea mays
Lineage: Eukaryota; Viridiplantae; Streptophyta; Magnoliopsida; Poales; Poaceae
Description: U2 spliceosomal RNA
Rfam family: U2 spliceosomal RNA
About the family: U2 is a small nuclear RNA (snRNA) component of the spliceosome (involved in pre-mRNA splicing).
Source: Rfam by way of RNAcentral
AUACCUCUCUUGGCCUUUUGGCUAGGAUAAAGUGUAAUACUUGUUCUUAUCAAUUUAAUAUCAAAUACUAGGACAAAAGAUUUGGCACGACGAUGGAGUCGUUGUGCAUCCAUU